CCUACGGGUGGCAGCAGUGGGGAAUAUUGGGCAAUGGAGGAAACUCUGACCCAGCAACGCCGCGUGAAUGAUGAAGGUCUUCGGAUUGUAAAGUUCUUUUCUAAGGGAAGAAGAAAGUGACGGUACCUUAGGAAUCAGCCUCGGCUAACUACGUGCCAGCAGCCGCGGUAAUACGUAGGAGGCAAGCGUUAUCCGGAAUGACUGGGCGUAAAGGGUGCGUAGGUGGUACAGCAAGUUAGUAGCGUAAUUCCGGUGCUCAACUUCGGCACUACUACUAAAACUGUUGGACUUGAGUGCAGGAGGGGCAACUGGAAUUUCUAGUGUAGCGGUGGAAUGCGUAGAUAUUAGGAAGAACAUCGGUGGCGAAGGCGAGUUGCUGGACUGUAACUGACGCUGAGGCACGAAAGCGAGGGGAGCAAACAGGAUUAGAUACCCGUGUAGUC
Molecule: ribosomal RNA, 443 nt
Filed under: uncultured bacterium
Lineage: Bacteria
Description: partial 16S ribosomal RNA
Rfam family: Bacterial small subunit ribosomal RNA
Source: RNAcentral